This is a long non-coding RNA of Malania oleifera, 557 nucleotides long. RefSeq lists it as uncharacterized. The record is from RefSeq and is a predicted model, not a curated record. Lineage: Eukaryota; Viridiplantae; Streptophyta; Magnoliopsida; Santalales; Ximeniaceae. The transcript is spliced from 3 exons.
UUUUUUAAAAUUUUAUUCCUCAAAUUAAACCCUAAAAAUCCCAAAUCCCCGAACUCCAAGCCCCUUUCUUUUACCUACGGCCUACCCCAGCCGCAGUCCGCAGCCCGCAGCCCGCAGCCAGCUGCUCUUUCCCUUAACCCGAGUCUCCGACGGAAAUCUGAUAGAGGUCCAUCUUCUCCGGCCUUUAGCCCCUAGUGUCCGGUGAUUCAGCUCAUAGUCUUAGACGGAAAUCUGGAUCCUCAAUCCAGGAAACUGAUUGGGAUAGGCCGUAGAGAGGGUGACAUGUUUGUUUUGGAUGAGCUGCGUGUUCCUAAUUAUGUGGCAGCAUCGAGAGUGAUCCAAGUAGGCGAGCAGAUCAGGCUCGCAGGUAGAGGGGCGUUUGUAGUGCCCUGAUAGCAAAGUGAGUACAGUGGAGGGUUUUUGUAUUUGCCCUAACUAGCUGAGGGCAAUUUUGGGGAUUUAGUAACAUAUGUAUAUAUUCUUUUGGGAAACAUGAUAGCACUCUGGUAUUGUACAGUAUGGUAUAUCAUUAUGUAUGGAAAUGUUUAUUUGUAUUA